RNAcentral lists this ribosomal RNA (437 nucleotides) under uncultured bacterium. Its description in RNAcentral is "partial 16S ribosomal RNA". The stretch from base 48 to 437 matches the Rfam family "Bacterial small subunit ribosomal RNA", at positions 39 to 507 of the family's 1533-position model. The record is from RNAcentral.
GGGGGGGGGGGGGGGGGGGGGGGAGGGGGGGGGGGGGGGGGGGGGGGGUGGUGUGGUCGGCGGGAGCCGGGUGGGUAACGCGUGGGAGGGUGCCCUGCGGUUCGGAAUCAGGGCGGGAAAACUGGGCGAAGACCGGGGACGUGGGAGAGCAGCAAGGGUGAUCGGCCGGAGUAUCGGCCCGCGUCGGGUUAGCUAGGUGGUGAUGUUAUGGCGCACCAAGGCGACGUGCCGUAGCUGGUCUGAGAGGCUGAUCGGCCACCCUGGGUCUGAGACACGGCCCAGACUCCUACGGGAGGCAGCAGUGGGGAAUAUUGGACAAUGGGGCCAACCCUGAUCCAGCCAUGCCGCGUGAGUGAUGCCGGCCUUAGGGUUGUAAAGCUCUUUUCUUCGGGACGAUAAUGACGGUACCGGAGGAAUAAGCCCCGGCUAACUUCGUG